CUUUGAUGGUGGAUGGUUUGGUGCCUUCUAUUCCCUUCUCUGUUAUGACCCGAAAGCGGCUUGAUUUUGUGGCUCGAAAUCGAUAGAACCACAAGGAUUCGGGAAACUUUGUUGGAACAGAGAUUGAUAUGAUGAAGGAAAGGUUUGCAAAAUUACUGUUUGGUGAAGACAUGUCAGGAUGUGGAAAAGGGGUCUGCACUGCUACGGCCAUCUCAAAUGCUAUUACUAAGCUGUGUGAAAUGCGGUGAAGAGAGAUGGAAUGACUACUUUGUGUUAGUGAUCAUAUUGUUGCACUUGAUGAAGUAUCUUGUAAUUGAAUUUCUAUAUGCUUGUAUUGAAAGAAGGUUCUGAUGAAUUGGAACUAGCACAAUGGAAAGAUAUAUAUAUCUAUGGCCAUGGUCUAUUGCAUUCUUUGACCCGUUUUGACAGCUUUUAUACAAAUGCAGCACUGCUGGAAUUACCGAAUUGUAUGCUGCCCAUACUAUAAAUUGAGAAGUAGUUUCAGUGAUGUAGCAGAGAUACCAUAGAAUCAAUAACAAAUAUCCUUUUACGGCAAAGUAAGGUGAGAACUCAUGAGAAUGCAACCAUCAAUUGGGAUUUGAAUGUCACGGGAUAGAGCUGUCAAAAUGG
Lupinus albus (white lupine) is the source of this 630-nucleotide non-coding RNA. The record is from the annotation of a GenBank genome assembly. Lineage: Eukaryota; Viridiplantae; Streptophyta; Magnoliopsida; Fabales; Fabaceae.